GUGAUGUUUUCAAUCUGAAUGGUGAUUUCCACAUGAUUUCCCUGCACAAAAAUGUGGUUUUUAUUCUUUAAUUAUGCAUAGUUAAUUAAAUGUCAGACAAGCUGGUACAAUAAGUGACACAAUAGUCCUUUCCCAAAAGGAGCACCUCCCAGUCACUCAGAUUGUGAUGACAGACGCAGGCCAACCACAUUCCGAAGCAGAUUAUACACUGGGGCCACUGCUCUGCCGCGGAGAUACAAGAAUUCUGAAAGUAUGGAGAAGAGAAAGUGUGAUAUUUGAAAUAUUCCCUUCUCUUUUUGGGAGACUGAGAUGGGAGGAUGGCUUGAGCCUAGGAGUUCAACACAAGC
This 347-nucleotide long non-coding RNA is filed under the name Pan troglodytes (chimpanzee). Its description in RNAcentral is "lncRNA (ENSPTRG00000053281.1)". The record is from RNAcentral. Lineage: Eukaryota; Metazoa; Chordata; Mammalia; Primates; Hominidae.